AUUGAACGCUGGCGGCAUGCCUUACACAUGCAAGUCGAACGGCAGCACGGGAGCAAUCCUGGUGGCGAGUGGCGAACGGGUGAGUAAAGUAUCGGAACGUGCCCAGUCGUGGGGGAUAACGUAGCGAAAGUUACGCUAAUACCGCAUACGAUCUAUGGAUGAAAGCGGGGGAUCGCAAGACCUCGCGCGAUUGGAGCGGCCGAUAUCAGAUUAGGUAGUUGGUGGGGUAAAGGCUCACCAAGCCGACGAUCUGUAGCUGGUCUGAGAGGACGACCAGCCACACUGGGACUGAGACACGGCCCAGACUCCUACGGGAGGCAGCAGUGGGGAAUUUUGGACAAUGGGCGAAAGCCUGAUCCAGCCAUGCCGCGUGCAGGAUGAAGGCCUUCGGGUUGUAAACUGCUUUUGUACGGAACGAAAAGGUUUGGCCUAAUAAGCUGAGCUCAUGACGGUACCGUAAGAAUAAGCACCGGCUAACUACGUGCAGCAGCCGCCGCCGUAA
RNAcentral lists this ribosomal RNA (502 nucleotides) under uncultured bacterium. Its description in RNAcentral is "partial 16S ribosomal RNA". It matches the Rfam family "Bacterial small subunit ribosomal RNA", at positions 30 to 523 of the family's 1533-position model. The record is from RNAcentral.